Long non-coding RNA from Grus americana (Whooping crane), 1203 nucleotides. RefSeq lists it as uncharacterized. The transcript is spliced from 3 exons. Lineage: Eukaryota; Metazoa; Chordata; Aves; Gruiformes; Gruidae. The record is from RefSeq and is a predicted model, not a curated record.
CCGGGUUCUCCUCAUCAGCGUCCUGCCGCAGACAGAGCUGCGCUCCGGUAAAAUAGCCUCUCACCAUCGGCACGGUGUACGGAAGAGACACGGUGGGAGGAAAAGAGCUCCGUAAAAUCAAAAAGUCUCUGCGAUUUACCACACGGAGGACGCUCGAUCUGCUGCCCCAGGCCCGGCCGAAGGCCCCAGCUCUCUGGCAACGUCUGUGAAUUCACGUAUGACCUGAAGGUGGCAAGCGACGUACGCGUAACGUGAAACCAGCCUGCAGUCCAGGUCCUGUGUAUGUUAAUGUUCCACCCUCCAUUGGGUUAUAUCAGCGACAAGAAUCGCACAGUAAAUUUGUCGUCAAACCAGGGCCGAAUUUAGGCCACCUACUGACUCCAAUUAUCACCAACCGCCUGCGACAAUUUCUACCUCUGACACAAUGGGAGGAAUAUUUACCUACUGGCUCUGGCAUCACGGGGAGGGCUGAGCUGGGACCGCUGGCGAGGUGCUCUGAAGCUUGGAAAAUGUUACAUCAGUCCCCAGCGUUGCCAACUUCAGAUAUGUCUAACCUAUAAAUAUUUGUUUAGUCUGCCUACAAACUGGCAUUGUAAAAUCAGGCAGAUAAGCUCUUUUUCUGCCCUUCCUUACUAAUGUCGUCAGAGAGAACAUUGCAGGAACUGUUCCGUUACAGUACCACAGCUAUGAGAGAGAGCCAGUAUUACGUCUCUGGGUUUAUUGCUUUGAGAUCUUUGCAACAAUCUGACAAAAAAUCACAGAAAGACAAAUCCUUUCUCCAAAGGUACACAAACUGCCCAUCAGCUACUGACAAACCGUUUGCAUGUUGGUCUUUUUUUGCACUGUGCAGAUUCCUGCUUUGAAUAACACCAAGGUGUAUAAAUCCUCCAUUUCUGUCUGAGACUCUCCUGUAGCAAUUACCUAAAAUAACUUAAAUGCUCCUCUAUAAGCCUGAAGAGCGUGUCAGUCUAGCAAUAAGAUCACUAUAACCGAUUGAUAGCUCUGUUCACUUAGGUGCGUAAUGAACGGGCCAAUACGCUGUAUGUUGUUACAUCCCUUUACGAAUGUGUAUCAUAUUUAUUGCCUCACAAUGUACUAAUGCCAUGUUGCCACUAGUAACUCACUCAGUUAAUGCUGAUUACAUACACUGCUUUAUUAUUUCUUAUUGGAAAUGUCAAACACACCCUCAUUACACUUUUCGGU